RNAcentral lists this ribosomal RNA (253 nucleotides) under uncultured bacterium. Its description in RNAcentral is "partial 16S ribosomal RNA". It matches the Rfam family "Bacterial small subunit ribosomal RNA", at positions 524 to 776 of the family's 1533-position model. The record is from RNAcentral.
UACGAAGGGGGCUAGCGUUGCUCGGAAUCACUGGGCGUAAAGCGCGUGUAGGCGGCUAUUUAAGUCUGAUGUGAAAGCCCUGGGCUUAACCCAGGAAGUGCAUUGGAUACUGGGUAGCUCGAGUACCGGAGAGGAGGGUGGAAUUCCUGGUGUAGCGGUGAAAUGCGUAGAUAUCAGGAGGAACACCGGUGGCGAAGGCGUCCCUCUGGCCGGAUACUGACGCUGAGACGCGAAAGCGUGGGGAGCAAACAGG